This 881-nucleotide ribosomal RNA is filed under the name uncultured eukaryote. Its description in RNAcentral is "SSU rRNA". It matches the Rfam family "Eukaryotic small subunit ribosomal RNA", at positions 567 to 1471 of the family's 1831-position model. The record is from RNAcentral.
CCAGCAGCCGCGGUAAUUCCAGCUCCAAUAGCGUAUAUUAAAGUUGUUGUGGUUAAAAAGCUCGUAGUUGGAUCUCAACAGCCUUGAAGCGGUUAACUUUGUAGUUUUACUGCUUUAUAGGCUGUGCUUUUGCUGGAGGUUUAGGGGUGCUCUUGAUCGAGUGUCUCUGGAUGCCAGCAGGUUUACUUUGAAAAAAUUAGAGUGCUCAAAGCAGGCUAAAAUGCCUGAAUAUUCGUGCAUGGAAUAAUAGAAUAGGAUGUCGAUCCUAUUUUGUUGGUUUUCGGGACUCGACAUAAUGAUAAAUAGGGACAGUCGGGGGCAUUUGUAUUCAAACGACAGAGGUGAAAUUCUUGGACCGUUUGAAGACAAACUACUGCGAAAGCAUUUGCCAAGAAUGUUUUCAUUAAUCAAGAACGAAAGUUAGAGGUUCGAAGGCGAUUAGAUACCGCCCUAGUUCUAACCAUAAACGAUGCCAGCUAGCGAUCUGCCUGCGUUUUUACUGUAGACUGGGCAGGAAGCUUCCGGGAAACCAAAGCAUUUGGGUUCCAGGGGAAGUAUGGUUGCAAAGCUGAAACUUAAAGGAAUUGACGGAAGGGCACCACCAGGAGUGGAGCCUGUGGCUUAAUUUGACUCAACACGGGAAAUCUCACCAGGCCCGGACACUGGAAGGAUUGACAGAUUGAUAGCUCUUUCUUGAUUCGGUGGGUGGUGGUGCAUGGCCGUUCUUAGUUGGUGGAGUGAUUUGUCUGGUUAAUUCCGAUAACGAACGAGACUCUGUCCUGCUAAAUAGUUUCUACUUCUCUUUUGAGUAGAAAUUUCUUCUUAGAGGGACUGGUGACUCUUAGUCACACGAGAUUGAGCAAUAACAGGUCUGUGAUGCC